RNAcentral lists this ribosomal RNA (450 nucleotides) under uncultured bacterium. Its description in RNAcentral is "bacterial SSU rRNA". It matches the Rfam family "Bacterial small subunit ribosomal RNA", at positions 354 to 796 of the family's 1533-position model. The record is from RNAcentral.
GUGGGGAAUAUUGGACAAUGGGCGAAAGCCUGAUCCAGCCAUGCCGCGUGUGUGAAGAAGGUCUUCGGAUUGUAAAGCACUUUAAGUUGGGAGGAAGGGCAGUAAGUUAAUACCUUGCUGUUUUGACGUUACCGACAGAAUAAGCACCGGCUAACUUCGUGCCAGCAGCCGCGGUAAUACGAGGGGUGCAAGCGUUAAUCGGAAUUACUGGGCGUAAAGCGCGCGUAGGUGGUUUUGUAAGUUGGAGGUGAAAUCCCCGGGCUCAACCUGGGAACUGCCUCAAAAACUGCAUGACUAGAGUACGGUAGAGGGUAGUGGAAUUUCCUGUGUAGCGGUGAAAUGCGUAGAUAUAGGAAGGAACACCAGUGGCGAAGGCGACUACCUGGACUGAUACUGACACUGAGGUGCGAAAGCGUGGGGAGCAAACAGGAUUAGAAACCCGGGUAGUCC